GAUGAACGCUAGCGGCAGGCUUAAUACAUGCAAGUCAAGGGGGUAGCAAUACAACCGGCGCACGGGUGAGUAACGCGUACACAACAUACCAUAUACUGGAGUAUAGCUUUGGGAAACUGAAGGUAAUCCUCCAUAACAUUGCGAGAGGGCAUCUGAUUGCAAUUAAAGUUUCGGCGGUAUAUGAUUGGUGUGCGUUUGAUUAGCUAGUUGGUAGGGUAACGGCCUACCAAGGCGACGAUCAAUAGCUGGCGUGAGAGCGCGACCAGCCACACUGGAACUGAGACACGGUCCAGACUCCUACGGGAGGCAGCAGUAGGGAAUAUUGGACAAUGAGGAAACUACUGAUCCAG
This 350-nucleotide ribosomal RNA is filed under the name uncultured bacterium. RNAcentral describes it as "bacterial SSU rRNA". It matches the Rfam family "Bacterial small subunit ribosomal RNA", at positions 28 to 391 of the family's 1533-position model. The record is from RNAcentral.